GAUGGACGCUGGCGGCGUGUCUUAACACAUGCAAGUCGAACGAAGCAAUUAGAGUGCUUGCACUUUGAUUGACUGAGUGGCGGACGGGUGAGUAACGCGUGGGUAACCUGCCUCACACAGGGGGAUAACAGUUGGAAACGGCUGCUAAUACCGCAUAAGCGCACAGUAUCGCAUGAUACAGUGUGAAAAACUCCGGUGGUGUGAGAUGGACCCGCGUCUGAUUAGCUAGUUGGUGAGGUAACGGCUCACCAAGGCAACGAUCAGUAGCCGGCCUGAGAGGGUGAACGGCCACAUUGGGACUGAGACACGGCCCAA
Molecule: ribosomal RNA, 315 nt
Filed under: uncultured bacterium
Lineage: Bacteria
Description: bacterial SSU rRNA
Rfam family: Bacterial small subunit ribosomal RNA
Source: RNAcentral